UGGUGUCUGGUCAGUGUAAAACUAGGCUGC
This 30-nucleotide non-coding RNA is filed under the name Homo sapiens (human). The record is from RNAcentral. Lineage: Eukaryota; Metazoa; Chordata; Mammalia; Primates; Hominidae.